CGGAGCGUGGCGCAGCCUGGUAGCGCACCUGAAUGGGGUUCAGGAGGUCCCGCGUUCGAAUCGCGGCGCUCCGACCA
This 77-nucleotide transfer RNA is filed under the name Dehalococcoidia bacterium. Its description in RNAcentral is "tRNA-Pro". It matches the Rfam family "tRNA". Rfam says of the family: Transfer RNA (tRNA) molecules are approximately 80 nucleotides in length. Lineage: Bacteria; Bacillati; Chloroflexota; Dehalococcoidia. RNAcentral also lists the same sequence under 1 other name. The record is from RNAcentral.